ACUGUUCACUCCUUGACGGUAUCUAACCAGAAAGCCACGGCUAACUACGUGCCAGCAGCCGCGGUAAUACGUAGGUGGCAAGCGUUGUCCGGAUUUAUUGGGCGUAAAGCGAGCGCAGGUGGUUUCUUAAGUCUGAUGUAAAAGGCAGUGGCUCAACCAUUGUGUGCAUUGGAAACUGGGAGACUUGAGUGCAGGAGAGGAGAGUGGAAUUCCAUGUGUAGCGGUGAAAUGCGUAGAUAUAUGGAGGAACACCGGAGGCGAAAGCGGCUCUCUGGCCUGUAACUGACACUGAGGCUCGAAAGCGUGGGGAGCAAACAGGAUUAGAUACCCUGGUAGUCCACGCCGUAAACGAUGAUUACUAGCUGUUUGUGAUAUACAAUAAGCGGCUAAGCGAAAGCGAUAAGUAAUCCACCUGGGGAGUACGCCGGCAACGGUG
RNAcentral lists this ribosomal RNA (436 nucleotides) under uncultured Lactococcus sp. Its description in RNAcentral is "bacterial SSU rRNA". It matches the Rfam family "Bacterial small subunit ribosomal RNA", at positions 457 to 896 of the family's 1533-position model. Lineage: Bacteria; Bacillati; Bacillota; Bacilli; Lactobacillales; Streptococcaceae. The record is from RNAcentral.